This 599-nucleotide ribosomal RNA is filed under the name uncultured Dothideomycetes. Its description in RNAcentral is "eukaryotic LSU rRNA". The stretch from base 229 to 382 matches the Rfam family "5.8S ribosomal RNA". The record is from RNAcentral. Lineage: Eukaryota; Fungi; Ascomycota; Dothideomycetes.
CUUGGUCAUUUAGAGGAAGUAAAAGUCGUAACAAGGUUUCCGUAGGUGAACCUGCGGAAGGAUCAUUAAUGGGUUAACGCCUCCGGGCACAAUCCCCACCCUUUGUAACCGCGGCCCGGAUUCGGCGCCUGGCGGGGACCGCCCCCCGUUCGCGGGGGGUCCCCGCCUGCCGGAAUUAGCCAACCCUGCCUAGAAAAUUGAAGUCUGAGAACAAGUUAAAUUAAACAAAACUUUCAACAACGGAUCUCUUAGUUCUGGCAACGAUGAAGAACGCAGCGAAAUGCGAUAAGUAAUGUGAAUUGCAGAAUUCAGUGAAUCAUCGAAUCUUUGAACGCACAUUGCGCCCCGUGGUAUUCCGCGGGGCAUGCCUGUUCGAGCGUCAUUUCAACCCAUCAAGCUUCGGCUUGGACUUGGGGCCUGCGGUUUCGCAGCCUCUAAACUCAGUGGCGGUGCUAUCGAGCUCUGAGCGUAGUAAUUUUUCUCGCUAUAGAGUCUUGGUCGUUACUUGCCAGUAACCCCCCCUUUUUAUUUAUUUAUUAGGUUGACCUCGGAUCAGGUAGGGAUACCCGCUGAACUUAAGCAUAUCAAUAAGCGGAGGA